RNAcentral lists this ribosomal RNA (504 nucleotides) under uncultured bacterium. RNAcentral's name for it is "bacterial SSU rRNA". It matches the Rfam family "Bacterial small subunit ribosomal RNA", at positions 28 to 518 of the family's 1533-position model. The record is from RNAcentral.
GAUGAACGCUAGCUACAGGCUUAACACAUGCAAGUCGAGGGGAAACGACAUCGAAAGCUUGCUUUUGGUGGGCGUCGACCGGCGCACGGGUGAGUAACGCGUAUCCAACCUGCCCACCACUUGGGGAUAACCUUGCGAAAGUAAGACUAAUACCCAAUGAUAUCCCACGAAGGCAUCCGAAUGGGAUUAAAGAUUUAUCGGUGAUGGAUGGGGAUGCGUCUGAUUAGCUUGUUGGCGGGGUAACGGCCCACCAAGGCAACGAUCAGUAGGGGUUCUGAGAGGAAGGUCCCCCCACAUUGGAACUGAGACACGGUCCAAACUCCUACGGGAGGCAGCAGUGAGGAAUAUUGGUCAAAUGGGCGAGAGCCUGAACCAGCCAAGUAGCGUGCAGGAUGACGGCCCUAUGGGUUGUAAACUGCUUUAUAAGGGAAUAAAGUGGGUCACGUGUGACUUUUUGCAUGUACCUUAUGAAUAAGGACCGGCUAAUUCCGUGCCAGCAGCCGC